UUCUCCAACUCCUUCCUUCAGCAAACCCUAGCCUCCACCAAAGAAAGCAAACCCUAGCCUCCACCAAUAGUUGUCCCCGUCUGUCGGAGUGAGAGACUGCUGCCGCCGUCUAUCGCACUCAAGAACUUCCGUCUUCGUGCUCUCGGGCCUCUCGCCGGAUCCUCCACGUCGGGUGCUCGCAUCUCGCCGUUCUCCUCUGUGCUCGGCUGCUCGCGCCUCCCUCCGCCAGUGAGUGCUCGAGCUGUGCGUGUUGGUUGCUGCUCGUCGUCCGUGGUUGUCUCUGCUCGAUUCUGCCUCCCAGUCUCACUCGAGUCUCGUCUCAGUCACUGGCAUCUCGUGGUUCGUCUGUCUCGUCGCCGGCGGCAGAAGCAACUCGUGGGGUUGUCUCUUGCUUCGUCGCCUUCCGUGGGGUGGUUGCCGACUCGCCGUCGACCGUUGAGACAUUUAUAGUUUUAUACAGACAAGUGGUUCUGAUUUUGGAAUCAACUAUGGACAAAUAGCCAACAAUCUUCCCUCUCCAUCACGCGUUGCUAUUCUAAAACGGUUUUUCUGGUUGAACCACCGGUUGGACUGGUUGGACCAAUAAACCAGUGAACCAGUGAUUAAAACGGUUUGAUGACCGGUCCGGUUUUCAGAACCUUGAUAAAUAUAGACACGAUUGAGUUGCAGUUACAGAAGCUCUAACUCUCAGAAAAACCGCUACAGUGUGUUGCUCUUCUUAUUCUCUCAGCAAUGGCUGAUCUCAGUGAAUUCAAGAUCGUAAAGGAAGGAGAAGCUGAGAUUCUCAUGCACAAACAGAAUGAAGUUUUCUAUAACAAAGCCCAGGUUAAUAACAGGGAUAUGUCAAUUGCUGUUUUGAGAACUUUUAUAUCCAAACGUAAGGAAGAACAUGAAGCAAAUUUGCCCAAGAAAGCUAAAAGAGCUCCAAAAGUAUCUGAAAGUGAUGCUUCUGAACCUGCCAAGGAGGAUGUCCCUCAUGCAUCUCCACCUGAAGAUUGUAGAGAUAAUGGCGAAUGUGAAGAUGGGAAUGGAAUGGCUCUUGAUGAACCGCACAAAACAGCAGAGGAGCAAGUCAAGAGCUCUGAAGAAUGCAACGGGGAAGGGGAGUCAAUGAGUAAUGCAGAUGGAAAAGUUCAGAGGGAACUGAAGCCACCAAGAGUUCUAGAGGCAUUGUCUGCUUCUGGAUUAAGGGCCCUUAGGUAUGCUCGUGAAGUGGAAGGAAUUGGUCAGGUGGUUGCUCUGGACAACGAUCAAGCUUCUGUUGACGCUUGCAGAAGGAACAUCAAAUUCAAUGGUUCAGUAGCGUGUUCAAAAGUUGAGUCUCAUCUUGCUGAUGCUCCUGUAUAUAUGCUAACCCACCCCAAAGAAUUCGACGUGGUUGAUCUUGAUCCUUGUGGUUCACCUUCCGUGUUCCUGGAUUCAGCAGUUCAAUCUGUUGCUGAUGGAGGUAUGCUGAUGUGUACGGCAACAGAUAUGGCAGUGCUCUGGGGGGAAAUGGGGAGGUCUGCUAUUCGAAAUAUGGUUCAUAUCCGCCGAGAGGAAAAUAUUGCCAUGAAAUGGCUUUGAGAAUCCUUCUCGCUUCCAUUGAGGUAUGUCUAUAAUUUAUUGUUUAAGUAAUAAGGAAUUGAGAUAGACAACUAGGAAGAUAGACAAAAUGCAUAAACCUCUUCCCAUCACUUGGCAAAUCAAAAUGAUUAAAAACACCAUCUUUAUUACUUUCUUAAUAAGCGUUGUACCAAACCCUUGUAUUUUACCAGGCCUAAUUUCAUUUUUUUUUAUCACACUAAUGAAUGUAUUUAUUUUAUAGGGUAUUAUAUCACCAAAGGUAGUGAUUUGUGAAGAUUAUUUUGGGAAUUCCAAGUAUUAGAUCACACCUAUCAUCAUUUAUUCUUACUAAUUAACACACAAAUCACACCUAUCAUCAUUUAUUCUUACUAAUUAAAACACUGAAAAUUAAAACACUGAUCUAUUGAAAAUUAAAAAUUAAAAAUUAAAACACUGAUCAACAACAAAGAAAUCUGAAUAUCAUGAGAUCAGAGUGAGACCUCAGUAAGUUGAUAAUGUUGAACAUCUCAGGCAGUAGCAAUUACACUGAAAAUUAAAACACUGAUCUACUGAAAAUUAAAAAUUAAAACACUGAUCAACAACAAAGAAAUCUGAAUAUCAUGAGAUCCAGUAAGUUGAUAUUGUUGAACAUCCCAGGCAAUAGCAAUUAGUUUCUUGAGUUGCUUCCAUGAUUCGUCAUCGGUAUGAUUGUUCGUUCCAACAGAAUUCUUGAUUCUUCUUUCCAAAUUGAAAAGAAUUUGACCGAGAAUGACCUCUACCCGAACCCUGGCGCCGUUAACCAUCGGAUUCUUCUCGGGAACAACCUCAUCCCACAAAAUAUAGCUAAGAACACAAAUAGAUCUACAAAUAUGCUUGAAAACACGAUCAAUCGUCUUAAAGUCUUCAUUGGAGUCCACCUUUUCCUUUUUCUCUUCCUUUGAUAUGAAAUCGAUGGUUGACUCCAUGACAAUAAUAAAUUUUCGAGCGAUUUUGUUGUUGAUAUUUUCUAUCAAUGUAGUCAACUUCGUCAUGACCUUGGUCAUAGUAGCGUGUUCGUCGUUAAUUUUGGACAACAGGAAGAUGUAUUGAGCUAGAACCUUUGAGAGCUUACCUGCGGCGCCAACGACUCUUAUUCGGAUCCUCGCAAAAGACGCCGAUUCAAAAGUUACGCUAUUUUUAUUGCUGUUUUCAGAAAUUGAUCAAUAGUCCUUCUUCAAUUGCUACUCUGUCAUAUUCUAACUCCAGACAAAUUUCGCUGAGCAUUCCUUCGGCUUAAUUCAAAGGUCAAUUUGAGAAUCAUUGAUCGGACAUUAGCACUUUCUUCUUCUUGGUGUUGUCUUGGUGGAAACUUAAAGAUCUAUGAAUUUACGAACCAUACUUAAAUUGUCGCGGCAGCGGGAGAUGGACCUCAGCAAAUACGGGAGGACCUUCCCCCAAGGAUCGACCUGGAUUCCAGCGUCUACUGUACAAUAUUGGAGAAAAAGGCCUUCUGGAUCAGGUGGCGGUUUUCUGACGGUUCUUCAAUGAUUUCCUCAAUAUCGGAAAGUUCCUUGAAAAUUUAUCUUUCUUCUUUUCUGCUUCUUCAGCUUCUCCGAUGACCUUAAGGUUUUCAAGCAUAUUUGUAGAUCUAUUUGUGUUCUUAGCUAUAUUUUGUGGGAUGAGGUUGUUCCCUAGAAGAAUCCGAUGGUUAACGGGGCCAGGGUUCGGGUAGAGGUCAUUCUCGGUCAAAUUCUUUUCAAUUUGGAAGGAAUCAAGAAUUCUGUUGUAACGAACAAUCAUACCAAUGACGAAGAAACUAAUUGCUACUGCCUGGGAUGUUCAACAAUAUCAACUUACUGAGGUCUCACUCUGAUCUCAUGAUAUUCAUAUUUCUUUGUUGUUGAUCAGUGUUUUAAUUUUCAGUGUAAUUGCUACUGCCUGGGAUGUUCAACAUUAUCAACUUAUUGAAGUCUCACUCUGAUCUCAUGAUAUUCAGAUUUCUUUGUUGUUGAUCAGUGUUUUAAUUUUUAAUUUUCAGUAGAUCAGUCUUUUAAUUUUCAGUGUUUUAAUUAGUAAGAAUAAAUGAUGAUAGGUGUGAUUUGUGUGUUAAUUAGUAAGAAUAAAUGAUGAUAGGUGUGAUUUAAUACUUGGAAUUCCCAAAAUAAUCUUCACAAAUCACCACCUUUGGUGAUAUAAUACCCUAUAAAAUAAAUACCUUCAUUAAUGUGAUAAAAAAAAUGAAAUUAGGCCUGGUAAAAUAUAGGGACUUGGUACAACGCUUAUUAAGAAAGUAAUAAAGAUGGUGUUUUUAAUCAUUUUGAUUUGCCAAGUGAUGGGAAGAGGUUUAUGCAUUUUGUCUAUCUUCCUAGUUGGCAAUAAGGCAGUAAUGACCAAAUCAGUUGCAUCAUCAUCAAAACUACUACCUCUGCUAUUAUCAAAAUCCUUCAAGCUUCUAAUCUUCUCCAAAGCACUUUCAUUAUCAUAAACUCCUUGCAAGGCAUACAAAAACCGCUUCCACCCACCUUCAACAACAUCUCUAUCCAAAGCAGGCAUAGUCCAUUUCACAACCACCUUCACAAAACUCUUAUUAGAAAAUAAGAAUUCGGAAACAGGUACCAAUGGCAAAAGCUGAAUCCCAAGCCUAAACUCUUUCCACGCAGGAGGAGCAAACCAUAAUCCACGGUCUCUCUUAUUAGACCAUAGAACCCCAACUAACUUGUUCUCUUUACAAAGUGUUCUUCAUACAUAUUACUAUCUCCUCCUCCAUUCACAUGCCACCACAUUUUAGCUGCAUGAAUUUCCAUGCUGCAAGAGUUGAUCCUAAUGAAACAAGUUCUGUAUCAUUAUAUGCCAAGCCCAACAAAGGCAAGUGUAUUCCAUUUAACUCUACUUUCCCUGUUGUUAGAAUAUAGAACCUCCAUUAACCUAUUCUCCUUUGUAAACUCCUCAAACUUUUCAUCAUCCCUCUUUAAAUGGCCCCACAUUUGAGCAGCAUGAAUUUCCAAUGCUGCAAGAGUUGAACCAAUAGCAACAAGAUUUGCAUCAUUAUAUGCCAAACCCAUCAACGCUGCUGAAUAAUAUGCAUUCACAGCUUCACCACUAAUCAAUUGAAAUCUUCCAACAUCACUAUCCUCUAGCCCUGAAUCCCAAGAGUGCAACAUGAACAGAUCAAAACACCUUAAACGUGUAUACUUAGAUUUUGAAUCUUUUCCUCCCAAGUUCAUGAAAUCUUCCAUGAGUGAAUAUGCUUCUGACCUAUACUUCUUACCCAAUUCGGAUCAAUCUUUGCAAGAACUGCAAUUCCAUACACAAAGUUACCUAGUUGAACAUGAUGAAGGUUGUAAACUCCAAACCCACAUUCUGCUCCUGAACUAUCAGCACCGCUUUUAGUAAUAAGCCCUCCCCGUUGCUUUUCAUACAAAAAUCCAUUCUCUCUAAAAGUGCCAUCUAACCAUGGCUGAAUGGUUUCUUUCAAGAAUUUCUUAACAAGUGAAAUCAAGUCAAGAAAACCAACUUCCUCAGCUAUCAUUGCAAACCUUGCUGCCCUUGCAAUCGAUUUGCCAUAACAAGAAGAUGAAGUAUUAGCUAUUUUUGAAGAACAAAGAGCACCAACAUCUCUACAAAGAGCUUGUUUGAUUUCAUCAUAGUAGGCUUGAUUGACACCUCUAGUAGAGUGCCAAGUUACAGGAACAUGUUCUGCUUCCAACAUCCAUGAAUCUCCAACAACGCCAACAAGGUCCCCAUCAAUACUUCGAUACUUAAAAUGUUUAAGAACACUCACAUUACCCUCAUCUUUGGACAAAAGCUGAAGAUGAAGAGGGUGAGCUAACAUCAACAAAUUACCAAGCCCUUUCUUCUGCCAUUUGUAUUCAACACAAUAUGGCUUAGUGAACAAAGCAUCUCCAGAAAGAGGGUAGCAAGAGCUGUACCUGUCAAGAACAGCCUCGUUUUCUGAGCUUAAAUCUGGCAUAACUGCAAUCCGAACCAUCACAGGAGCCUCACCAGAAGAAAUGUUGGAGAAAGCGAGUUUCAUGUCAAAGCUAAAACUAAAUAUGGUUGGUGAAGAAGUAUAGAUAAGCCAUUUCUGACCAUUCUCAAGCUGAAGAGUAUACUUAUUUGGUGAAGCAUUUGAAGAAAAAGAAGAGAUUUUAUGGAUGGAGGUUAUGGAAAGAGAUUCAUGUUGUGACAGAGAAACGGUAACAUAAGGGCUUCCCCUAACAAGGAAGAAAGUGAGAUUGGAAGAAGGAAACUCAAGAGUGACACUGAAAUCACUGAAGGAAGAUAUAACAUGGCGGGAUUGAGAAUCUUUUGGGGUAGAGAUAGUAAGAUCAGGAGUGAAGACUUGGUGGAUGGAAUGAGAGGAGACAAAGAGAGAAGGGUAGCAGAGAGAAACAGAGGAAUCAGAGGGUUUGAUGAGAUAAGGAUGAAUGUACUCUUGUAUGUUGCCAUCGUUGAGGACGAAGUUCUGGCAGAAUGAGUAUGGAGAAGAGAGAAGAUUUUCAGAGAAGAACUUUGAAGGGUCAGGGAGCACUUUGGAGUUUGUUAGUGGGAAGAGAAAAGGUUGUUCAUCAUCUAACUGUCUUGGGAAGAUCUAUAGUCUUAUCAUCAAACAAGUGAAACAACCCAUCGCUCUGUAUGCUAGGAUCCCAUUUUUCUAUAAUAAUGUCUGCUGUGAAUCCACCACAAGAGAUUGCUCAAUGUGUUGCCAGCAUCAAAACGCUUUAAGCUUCUAAUCUUGUCCAAUGCAACUUGAUUGUUAUAAAUUCCUUCAAGUGCAUACACAAACCCCAUCCAUCCGUCUCUUACUGUAUACAGAGAUGGUGACCACUUCACAAGGUCCUUAACAAAAUCAACAUUGGAGAAUAAGAACUCAGUAAUAGGCAAUAAGGGUUAUCACCAACUUUCACAUGCCACCACAUCUUAGCAGCAUGAAUCUCCAAUGAUGCAAGAGUUGAUCCAAUGGAAGCAAGAUGGAUGUCACCAUAAGCUUGGCCCAUCAAUGCAGCAGAAUAGUAAAUAUUUACAGCUUCACUGUUGCUGUCUUGUUGCCAUGCACUUUCCCAAUGACAAAGAUCUACAUAUAAAGUCCAAGAGUGCAAUUUGUACAGAUCGAAACACCUAAGACGUGUGUAUUUGGAGUUUGAUCCUCUUGCCAAUUUCAUAAAAUUUGCCAUAAGUGAGUAGGCUUUUAGGCUUAUAUUUCAUUCCCCAAGCUGGAUCAAUCUUUGCAAGCACUGCAAUUCCAUAAAGGAAGUACCCAGCACUGUAUGCUUCAAUACUAAUCCUUCCCCAUUUUGCAUCAUAUAGAAAUCCAUUGCCAUCAAAAGUGCCAUCCAACCAUGGCUGAAUGGUUUCAUGCAAGAACUUCUUCACGGAUGGGACCACUUCAAGAAAACCAAUCUCCUCCGCUAUCAAAGCCAACCUUGCUUCCCUUGCAAUAAAUUUCCCAUAAUAGUAAGCUGAAGUUGUUGUUAUCUCAGAAGAACAAAGACCAGCUACAUCUUUGGAAAGAGCUGAUUUGAUUUCAUCAAAAGAUUCUUCUUUGACACCUCUAGUAGAAUACCAAGUCACAGGAACAUGAUCUGCUUUCAGCAACCAUGAAUCUCCGACA
This is an RNA transcript of Arachis duranensis, 7135 nucleotides long. It is a transcript of the gene named probable tRNA (guanine(26)-N(2))-dimethyltransferase 1, with no coding region annotated. The record is from RefSeq and is a predicted model, not a curated record. The transcript has 9 exons. NCBI's taxonomy places the organism in Eukaryota, Viridiplantae, Streptophyta, Magnoliopsida, Fabales, Fabaceae.